RNAcentral lists this ribosomal RNA (253 nucleotides) under uncultured bacterium. Its description in RNAcentral is "partial 16S ribosomal RNA". It matches the Rfam family "Bacterial small subunit ribosomal RNA", at positions 524 to 776 of the family's 1533-position model. The record is from RNAcentral.
UACGUAGGGUGCGAGCGUUGUCCGGAAUUACUGGGCGUAAAGGGCUCGUAGGCGGUCUGUCGCGUCGAAAGUGAAAACCCAGGGCUUAACCCUGGGCCUGCUUCCGAUACGGGCAGACUAGAGGUAUGCAGGGGAGAACGGAAUUCCUGGUGUAGCGGUGAAAUGCGCAGAUAUCAGGAGGAACACCGGUGGCGAAGGCGGUUCUCUGGGCAUUACCUGACGCUGAGGAGCGAAAGUGUGGGGAGCGAACAGG